CCGUAGCCCAAGAGAUCGGGAUAACACCUGGAAACAGAUGCUAAUACCGGAUAAUAACAGAUGAUGCCUAUCAACUGUUUAAAAGAUGGUUCUGCUAUCACUCUUGGAUGGACCUGCGGUGCAUUAGCUAGUUGGUAGGGUAACGGCCUACCAAGGCGAUGAUGCAUAGCCGAGUUGAGAGACUGAUCGGCCACAUUGGGACUGAGACACGGCCCAAACUCCUACGGGAGGCAGCAGU
RNAcentral lists this ribosomal RNA (238 nucleotides) under uncultured Lactobacillus sp. RNAcentral describes it as "partial 16S ribosomal RNA". It matches the Rfam family "Bacterial small subunit ribosomal RNA", at positions 125 to 355 of the family's 1533-position model. The record is from RNAcentral. Lineage: Bacteria; Bacillati; Bacillota; Bacilli; Lactobacillales; Lactobacillaceae.